AUUACCUUAAGUGCUGCCCUUCACUUCUCGCUUAAAGCGAGGAAGCGAGCGCUUUUUUAAUCACUGACUAGCUCCGCCCCUGACUCGAACUAGUUAGAAUUCAGAACCUUGUGACUUUACGACUUGAAUCCAUUCUAGGGUGAGAGCUAUAAUGUUGAUGCUAGUCAAUUUCUUAUAUUGAGCUGAGGUUGCUAGUUCAGUAGGAAAGAGUUAUCUUUUUGUUGCUUUACUCUUUGUGUUUACAAGUGUAGUUAAUGCUUCCUAUAUGAAUAGGUUGCUUCCUAUGUGAAAAUGUUAAAAGUUCAAUGAUUUGUUUGGUGGUUGUUAUAUCUGCUUUAUUUUCUGUUCUGUCCUCUCCUUGAAAGGGGCUGAUCCAUGUAACUGAUGGAAAUUUUCGGAUUUUCCUAAUGAAUUCAGGGAAAACUCAAGAUGCCAAUAGAACACCUGUUAAAUUUCCCAUGAAGAGCUCAAAACUUAAACUGAAGCAAUUGAAGAAGAAAGGCAAGUUCCUAUAGAGUUGCUAUUUUACAUUCUUAUUUGAACUAGGAUAGGAUUCUUUGUUAAUUUCGCUUAUUGACUACAAAUCCAUGUGUUACAGGAAAGGGAAAAAGGAAUUCUAAUAAACAAGCUACAGAAGCUUCCGUGGAUGUAAUGGUGGAGUAAGCGAGGGACAUUAGAAUCAUUUUGCUGACUGCUUGAUGGGCAAUAUGUCUUUUUUUUUUUUUUUUUUUGUUGUUCUGUCCCUACUUUCCUGGGAGUUAACAAGGGCUUGUAAUCUACGUUUGUAUUAGCAUCUGCUACUAGGAAAAAAGGAGGUAGGGGUUCUUAUAGUUCUUCAUGUUAGUGGUUAUAUGUUUGUAUCAUACAAUUUUGUGGAUACUAUGGAUCUUUGGGAUUAAAGAUGUUCUUAAAAGAGCUCAUAACUGAGCCUGUUUGUCAGAGCUAGUCAAUACACUCUCCUGUUUCUUUAUGAAUGGUAACUUCUGCGGCAGUAGCAUGGAAAGUUGCUAAAAGAAAGUGGCAUCAUAAUCGGGGAAGAAAGCCAAAUAUGUCAUAAUGAGCAGGGGACCAUAGCUCAUAUUUUUACAGAGUGCAGUGUGUUAAAAAAAUUCUGGCCGGACAAAUUACAUCAAAUUAUGACCCUCUGUCUUCCAUCAGAACUGGAUUAAACCAGCUGUACUUCUAAUAAUAACUACUAAGGUCAACAUUUCCCCUUUCUGACUCUGGCACAAAUGGAUCAAUCGAAAUCAAAAACCACUUCACUAAUAAAAAGGAUCUUCUAAAUACCAACUCAGUCAUUGCAAAAGCUACCGAAUAAAUAAUGC
RNAcentral lists this long non-coding RNA (1325 nucleotides) under Nicotiana tabacum (common tobacco). RNAcentral's name for it is "long non-coding RNA (NTAB_LNC018916)". Lineage: Eukaryota; Viridiplantae; Streptophyta; Magnoliopsida; Solanales; Solanaceae. The record is from RNAcentral.